AACACAUGCAAGUCGAACGGAGUGCCCAUGACAGAGGUUCCGGCCAAUAGAUUGGGUUACUUAGUGGCGGACUGGUGAGUAACGCGCGAGGAACCUGCCUUUCAGAGGGGGACAACAGCUGGAAACGGCUGCUAAUACCGCAUGACAUAUAUUGAGGGCAUCCUUGAUAUAUCAAAGAUUUUUAUCGCUGAAAGAUGGCCUCGCGUCCGAUUAGAUAGUUGGCGGGGUAACGGCCCACCAAGUCGACGAUCGGUAGCCGGACUGAGAGGUUGACCGGCCACAUUGGGACUGAGAUACGGCCCAGACUCCUACGGGAGGCAGCAGUGGGGAAUAUUGGGCAAUGGACGCAAGUCUGACCCAGCAACGCCGCGUGAAGGAAGAAGGCUUUCGAGUUGUAAACUUCUUUUAAGGGGGAACAGUAGAAGAGGGUACCCCUUGAAUAAGCCACGGCUAACUACGUG
This 461-nucleotide ribosomal RNA is filed under the name uncultured bacterium. RNAcentral's name for it is "bacterial SSU rRNA". It matches the Rfam family "Bacterial small subunit ribosomal RNA", at positions 50 to 507 of the family's 1533-position model. The record is from RNAcentral.